UUCACCGUAAUUGUAAUUUUGCUGUUUUUCUCCUCAAAGUAGGAAAGCAGUACUUGUGGAAUACCUCAUUCUGUUAUUUAAGAACACUUGUCAAGCUCCCAAAAGAGGUAGUGUGCUGUCCAUAAGAUUUGGGCCUAGAGGCAUGAUCAAAAGGAAACUUGCAACUGGACAUAGUUCCUUUUGAGGUGGAGAGAGGGGAGGGGUGUGGCGCUGCUUCUUUUGGCCUCUUAAAGAUGAUUCAAGUACGUGGGCCUCUCUCUGCUGUGGCCUCUCCCUUUGCGGAGCGCAGGCUCCGGACGUGCAG
This is a long non-coding RNA of Physeter macrocephalus (sperm whale), 304 nucleotides long. RefSeq lists it as uncharacterized. Lineage: Eukaryota; Metazoa; Chordata; Mammalia; Artiodactyla; Physeteridae. The transcript has 3 exons. The record is from RefSeq and is a predicted model, not a curated record.